RNAcentral lists this unclassified non-coding RNA (247 nucleotides) under Enterococcus faecalis V583. Its description in RNAcentral is "Ref9D2". Lineage: Bacteria; Bacillati; Bacillota; Bacilli; Lactobacillales; Enterococcaceae. The record is from RNAcentral.
AAAAACAGACUUCUCUUAUAAAGUUUGUUCAAAAAGUGACAAGUCCAUUAAAAAUUUUAUCACAAUAAAUAAAGAAAAGUAAGAGGAUAAAUAACAAAAAUCUCAUCAAAUUGAAAAGAAGAAGUGGUUGUUUUCACAAGUGUGAAGAGGGUUAAUUAAAUACAAACAAGAUUUCAAUUACAUUACAGAAAUUUUAAAACUCAAAAUUUAAUACGUUUAUUUCUUGUUUCAAUAGGAAAUUAACGGU